GGGAAAACAGAGAGGAAGAAGAAGAGAAUGAGGAGGGGAAAAGAGAGAGGAAGAAGAGAAUGAGGAGGGGAAAAGAGAGAAGAAGAAGAGAGUGCGGAGGGGGAAAGAGAGAGGAAGAAGAAGAGAAUGAGGAGGGGAAAAGAGAGAGGAAGAAGAAGAGAAUGAGGAGGGGAAAAGAGAGAGGAAGAAGAAGAGAAUGAGGAGGGGAAAAGAGAGAGGAAGAAGACGAGAAUGAGGAGGGGAAAAGAGAGAGGAAGAAGAAGAGAAUGAGGAGGGGAAAAGAGAGAGGAAGAAGAAGAGAAUGAGGAGGGGAAAAGAGAG
Long non-coding RNA from Oncorhynchus tshawytscha (Chinook salmon), 321 nucleotides. The record is from Ensembl. NCBI's taxonomy places the organism in Eukaryota, Metazoa, Chordata, Actinopteri, Salmoniformes, Salmonidae.